This 407-nucleotide ribosomal RNA is filed under the name uncultured bacterium. RNAcentral's name for it is "partial 16S ribosomal RNA". It matches the Rfam family "Bacterial small subunit ribosomal RNA", at positions 30 to 526 of the family's 1533-position model. The record is from RNAcentral.
AUUGAACGCUGGCGGCAGGCCUAACACAUGCAAGUCGGGCGGAGCGGCGGACGGGUGAGUAAUGCCUAGGAAUCUGCCUGAUAGAGGGGGAUAACGACCGGAAACGGGCGCUAAUACCGCAUACUAUCAGAUGAGCCUAGGUCGGAUUAGCUAGUCGGUGGGGUAAAGGCCUACCAAGGCGACGAUCCGUAACUGGUCUGAGAGGAUGAUCAGUCACACGGGAACUGCGACACGGUCCAGACUCCUACGGGAGGCAGCAGUGGGGAAUAUUGGACAAUGGGCGAAAGCCUGAUCCAGCCAUGCCGCGUGUGUGAAGAAGUUCUUCGGAUUGUAAAGCACUUUAAGUUGGGAGGCGUUACCAACAGAAUAAGCACCGGCUAACUUCGUGCCAGCAGCCGCGGUAAUAC